AUUGAACGCUGGCGGAAUGCUUUACACAUGCAAGUCGGGCGGCAGCGCGGGGGCAACCCUGGCGGCGAGCGGCGAACGGGUGAGUAACACAUCGGAACGUACCCUGUCGUGGGGGAUAACGAAUCGAAAGAUUCGCUAAUACCGCAUACGACCUGAGGGUGAAAGCGGGGGAUCGCAAGACCUCGCGCGAGAGGAGCGGCCGAUGGCGGAUUAGCUAGUUGGUGGGGUAAUGGCCUACCAAGGCGACGAUCAGUAGCUGGUCUGAGAGGAUGGCCAGCCACACUGGGACUGAGACACGGCCCAGACUCCUACGGGAGGCAGCAGUGGGGAAUUUUGGACAAUGGGCGCAAGCCUGAUCCAGCAAUGCCGCGUGAGUGAAGAAGG
Molecule: ribosomal RNA, 384 nt
Filed under: uncultured bacterium
Lineage: Bacteria
Description: bacterial SSU rRNA
Rfam family: Bacterial small subunit ribosomal RNA
Source: RNAcentral